Long non-coding RNA from Trichechus manatus latirostris (Florida manatee), 137 nucleotides. RefSeq lists it as uncharacterized. The record is from RefSeq and is a predicted model, not a curated record. NCBI's taxonomy places the organism in Eukaryota, Metazoa, Chordata, Mammalia, Sirenia, Trichechidae. The transcript has 2 exons.
AACCCUGGAAGCGAGAUUGGCUGCAGUGACUUCCUUUUUGUAAGAUCUGGAGUGAAUAAAAUAAAGCAGACAUAAUCUAUUUCUAGAAAACUUAUUUAUACCCUAGCAUUUGAAAUGCCUUCUAUUUAGAAUAGCAG